CACCCCGCGUGUGGGAAGAAGGCCUUCGGGUUGUAAACUCCUGUCAGUUGGAACGAAAGGCGGGGGGUUGAAUAGGGGGGGGUCUUGACGGUACCUCCAAAGGAAGCCCCGGCUAACUCCGUGCCAGCAGCCGGGGUAAUACGGAGGGGGCAAGCGUUUUUCGGAAUUAUUGGGCGUAAAGGGCGCGCAGGCGGCUUGUUAAGUCAAAGGUGAAAUCCCUCGGCUCAACCGAGGAAUUGCUUUURAAACUGCCUGGCUAGAGUCGGGGAGGGGGAAGCGGAAUUCCCGGUGUWGCGGUGAAAUGCGUAAAUAUUGGGAGGAACACCAGGGGCSAAGGCGGCUUUCUGGCCCAUUUCUGACGCUUARGCKCGAAAUCGUGGGGAGCAAACAGGAUUAGAUACCCUGGUAGYCCCCSCCGUAAACRAUCCCCAMGGGGUGUGCGGGUAUCGACCCCUYCCCUCCSCAGCUWACGCAUWAGUGCUCGCCUGGGGA
RNAcentral lists this ribosomal RNA (492 nucleotides) under uncultured Acidobacteriota bacterium. RNAcentral describes it as "uncultured Acidobacteria bacterium partial 16S ribosomal RNA". It matches the Rfam family "Bacterial small subunit ribosomal RNA", at positions 393 to 879 of the family's 1533-position model. The record is from RNAcentral. Lineage: Bacteria; Pseudomonadati; Acidobacteriota.